Pipra filicauda (Wire-tailed manakin) is the source of this 1294-nucleotide long non-coding RNA. RefSeq lists it as uncharacterized. The transcript is spliced from 2 exons. NCBI's taxonomy places the organism in Eukaryota, Metazoa, Chordata, Aves, Passeriformes, Pipridae. The record is from RefSeq and is a predicted model, not a curated record.
GCCGCCCCCGCCCGCCGCGUCCCCUGGAAGCGGGGGAGCCGCCGGAGGAGCCUUCGCCCUCCAUCCUAUCUCCCCUUCCCGUUCCCUCUCCCCACCCGAGGCUACGCUCUCUCCUGUCCCCCGGGCGCCGCCGCCUGCUCUGGACCCCUCUCCCCAGGGCAUCCCUCUCCUGUCUCGCGACGCCCAGUGGAGCUUCAGCUGGGUCCCGGACAUCCAGGGCGGUAGUUCAGCUUUCUGCAUCUCACCUCGCAGCUGAUUUGUUUUUAAUCAAUACCAUGAUUUCUAUGGUCGUGAAAGAGUACCAACAGACUCGUCACAGCAACUUUCGGCUGAUCAUCAACGUCAGAGUAACGUACCCAUGGUUAAAGGAACCCCCAAGUCAAGCCCAAAUCUGAAUACCCUAAUGGUACAGUGACCCAGAUCUAAACUAGAGAGAUCACACAGGAUGGUCCCAGGCAAGAUACAUCAGCUGCUGAGAGUUAAGCAGGACUCUGGGAUCUUGUUCCCAAUUCUGCCACCUCUAACACAGCUUAAACACCUGCUUCAGUGUGACUCCAUUUUUUUCCUUUUAGAAGGGAUCUUAACAUUUCCCAUUCCCCUGUGGGCUCUCUUCUUCAGAAUGCAGAAUCAGAUUCUCAGACAGAAAAUGGCAUACAAGUAUUACUGAGCUGAAACAAAGGCUUGCAAAUUAGUGACGGCUGGAACUACACUUUAAAGCUGCGUGUGCCAAGGACUCUCAGUGAUGGAAAAACCCAACAACAUAAGAAAAACAUUUGAUGGGAAUAGGAAAGGACCCGGAGGGAAGCAGAGUAGAAAAGUAUGAAGUAGGAAGAGCCUGAAAUGAUACCUUCAUGGCACGAUCCUCCUCAGUCCAUCCUUGAAGCCCAGCUCCUCCUCUUCCCUGUCUCUGCUGUGUUUCCUGUUCCCUCUUCCUCAGUUCCAGCCACUACAAUUUUAGCAGACCCAGACCCACCAGCUCAGCAAUGCUUCCUUGCACAGGGACAUCAUGGUGUUCCCCAUCCCCGACAGUGCCUCUCACCAGCUGGGGACUCGCCUGUGACCAGGUCCGGGAGUGGGACCAUUUCCUUCCGGCUCAGCAGCCAGCGCUGAAAGAAGAGGACAUACCCAUACUACGACUAUAGGUUGUGACAAACACUCGUCAAUACUUGUGAAAAGCUCAUGAUACAACACAGUUAAUACAAAGUAUGUGUAUUCAAAGCUCCUACCCCCUCAAAUAUCUCAGUUUCAGUCUUGCCUGACUUUUUAGAAGCUGCAAUAAAUCCCAUAAAGCUUC